AACUCGGCGAUGAGGAAGAAGAGUAGACAUCACAGGAGACUUAAGAGAGCUGAUGGUUGGUGCGAAUCAGUGUCAAAUGGAUGUUGAAUGGGCUUCCGAGCUCCAGACCGAACCCGGGCUUACCGGCAGUAGGCUCUGGCGUGAAUAGUCCACACGUUACAACGGGCACCGUAUCACUGGUACGGGUAAAGAGAUUCCACGCAAGCACGGUCUGUGUUUGCCCGGAAUAACAAGGGUGGCACCACGGUUCAUUCGUCCCUAUU
RNAcentral lists this non-coding RNA (263 nucleotides) under Brevibacillus borstelensis. RNAcentral's name for it is "T-box sequence". It matches the Rfam family "T-box leader". Rfam says of the family: Uncharged tRNA acts as the effector for transcription antitermination of genes in the T-box leader family. T-boxes are found upstream of many aminoacyl-tRNA synthetase genes and some amino acid biosynthetic genes usually in Gram-positive bacteria. The anticodon of a specific tRNA base pairs to a specifier sequence within the T-box motif, and the NCCA acceptor tail of the tRNA base pairs to a conserved bulge in the T-box antiterminator hairpin. Lineage: Bacteria; Bacillati; Bacillota; Bacilli; Caryophanales; Paenibacillaceae. The record is from RNAcentral.